This is a long non-coding RNA of Passer montanus (Eurasian tree sparrow), 287 nucleotides long. RefSeq lists it as uncharacterized. NCBI's taxonomy places the organism in Eukaryota, Metazoa, Chordata, Aves, Passeriformes, Passeridae. The transcript is spliced from 3 exons. The record is from RefSeq and is a predicted model, not a curated record.
AGAAGGUGGAAUUUUGAUUGACAGAUUGAACAGCUGAAGGACACAAAAAGAAGAGAAAUACAGUACAAAAAACCAGCAACUAUCACUUGGAAAGUUGGACCAGUCAAGCCUUGGAGGACCCCUUGUCGAUCAGGCUGGGCUUCUGAGCCAGAGGAAUUUACACAGACAAAUGACAGGCACUUGAAUUGCAAAUCACUGAUCCAAGGUCUUAUAGCCUUGAAGUUCAAGUCAGAUUAUCAGUGAAUAUUAGAACACGCACAUGUGAGACGGCCUUUACAAGCUUUAAG